Long non-coding RNA from Lontra canadensis (Northern American river otter), 164 nucleotides. RefSeq lists it as uncharacterized. NCBI's taxonomy places the organism in Eukaryota, Metazoa, Chordata, Mammalia, Carnivora, Mustelidae. The record is from RefSeq and is a predicted model, not a curated record. The transcript has 3 exons.
UUCUUUAUAUACUUUGGAUAUAAAUCACUUCUCAGAUGGAGAAAUUGAGGCUCAGUCCAGAAACUCUUCUCUCUACCUAAGACUGAAUGUUCCAAGGGAGCAGGUUUAACGAACCCACAAGUCUUUUGCGGUGGAAAGUAAAUUGUGCCAAAGGUAUUUAUUCA